RNAcentral lists this ribosomal RNA (468 nucleotides) under uncultured bacterium. Its description in RNAcentral is "partial 16S ribosomal RNA". The stretch from base 54 to 468 matches the Rfam family "Bacterial small subunit ribosomal RNA", at positions 35 to 507 of the family's 1533-position model. The record is from RNAcentral.
GGGGGGGGGGGGGGGGGGGGGGGGGGGGGGGGGGGGGGGGGGAGGGGGGCGGGGUUGGGGGGGGGCUCGAGUGGCGAACGGGUGGGGAACACGUGAGUAACCUGCCCUGGACUUUGGGAUAACUGCAGGAAACUGGGGCGAAUACCGGAGAGGAGCUCCUGCUGCAUGGUGGGGGGUGGAAAGUUUCGGCGGGUGGGGAUGGACUCGCGGCGUAUCAGCUUGUGGGUGGGGUAGUGGCUUACCAAGGCUUUGACGGGUAGCCGGCCUGAGAGGGUGACCGGCCACAUUGGGACUGAGAUACGGCCCAGACUCCUACGGGAGGCAGCAGUGGGGAAUAUUGCACAAUGGGCGGAAGCCUGAUGCAGCAACGCCGCGUGCGGGAUGACGGCCUUCGGGUUGUAAACCGCUUUCGCCUGUGACGAAGCGUGAGUGACGGUAAUGGGUAAAGAAGCACCGGCUAACUACGUG